Patella vulgata (common limpet) is the source of this 2075-nucleotide long non-coding RNA. RefSeq lists it as uncharacterized. The transcript is spliced from 3 exons. The record is from RefSeq and is a predicted model, not a curated record. NCBI's taxonomy places the organism in Eukaryota, Metazoa, Mollusca, Gastropoda, Patellidae.
UUUUGAAGUGCAGGAAAAGACCAAAAAUAACGCAGAAAAUAUUUUCUGCAAAGAGAAAUAUAAGCAGCAAUCUGUGAUAUUUUACCUGGCUGUUUUACUAAAAGAAGAGAAAUCUGAAAAUUUGCAGGGCAUCUAUCCUUUAUUUAUCAUUUAUUAUACGUUAAUUAUCCAUACCGGACCGAUUCCAAGAUAACCAUGGAUAGGAGGGUGCGCGGGUGGCAACGUCACAUGCUGAUAUUGCAAAGUGAACAAUAAAUGUCCAGGUGGCCUCCCCCGUAAAAUUUCGAAAACUAGAAGCCCGGAAAUGCUAUUUCCAGUGAUCUGAGACAAGAAUCCAGUUCUAAAAUAAUGAAUUAUAAUGGGAUUUUUCAGUCAGAAAUCCAGAUCCACUAAAUCCACCCUUGGUAUCUAAGAUGAGCGAUACGAUUAUCCACUGUCAUCAAAAAAUGAUAUUUAGUUUGAAUCUAAUCACACUUGAUUGACAUGAUUAUCCACUUUAUAUUAAGCCUGAUUCCAGCCCGCAUCAAUCAAAUGAAAUUUGUUUUGAUUGAAUCUAAUCACAGUCUAAUCUAAGCUCAUUUCAAAAUCGGUUUGAAUUUAAUAGUAUCUCACUGGGUGAUAUCAUGUGACAAAAUUUAUAUAUAUUUAUUAUAUAAAAUAUAUUUUGUUUAUUGUCAUCAAUCAAAUAAAAUUCACUUUGAAUCUAAUAGCAUCUCACUCAAUCAGAGAGAGAGAUAGAAAUGGGUCAGUUCGGGACUAACAUAUGGUUCAAUUUUAUUUACAUAAUUCUCUUGCGUGUAGGGGUCUUUAGCAGUGGGAGGAAACUGGAGAUCCCGGAGAAAACCCACGAGGUUGGACAGGCGACCCUACUCCUUGCCACAUACAACCGGGGAUUCGAAACCACGCCAGUCGACUCAAUGACAGACUUUAUGAUACAGCGUGUGCACGCUAACCAUUCAGCCAUCCAACCCCCCUCUCACUCAAUCAACAUUUAUGUCAAAGUCUGUUGUUCUAUGUUGGUAUAUAUGUAAUUCUAUGUACUGAAAAGACAAUUGCCUUUUUGUAUGAUAAUACACAUUCAAAUGUUGUCAUAGAAUCUAACUGGAUUCACCACAAUCCAAUAUAUAAAUUUUUCUGAGUGAAUGAAUUAAAAGUAAUUAGUAAUCCUGUUUAUGAAUUUGUGGAACUUUUUAAAAAAAAAUUAAAUUUGAUUUCAAUGUUCAAAUGUAUAUCGUAUUUGUAUUUUAGUUUGUUUAUUUUAUUUAAUUUGUGUACCAUAUUUUGUAAAGAACAUGUCAGCACUUAGUCAUGAAAGUGGUGAACUAUAAAAACUGUUCAAUAAUAAUAAUAGUUCCAAAGAUAAUUUGAUUUGAUCUGAUAAUUUGUUCAAUAUAGCGUGAUAGUAUCUCACUUUAUUUUAUUUUCUUGUUUUAUCACUUAGAGACACAGAUUCUUUGAUUUGGGGUAAAAAAAAAAAUAAGAUUGUUGAUUUGAUUAAAUUUUAUGUGUUUAUUAAUUAUGCAAGAUAAAAAAUCUUCAUUUGUUGAGAUUUUACGUACUGGUAAAGCCCCAUGACAUUGUUGAGAUGUAAACUCUCGAUAUUUCAAAGUCAAAAACAAAACUAAAAGUUUGAACACUAAUGGGAAUAACACAUCUUGCCUCUUAUCCUGGAAAAAUAUAUUAAAGGGGUAUUAUUAAAGAUUUAGAUAAAGAGCUGACAGUUCUCGCUAUAACAGUUAAAAACUAGAUAAUGAAAAGGGAAUAUGUUGAAAAUUUCAGUCAAUUUACUACACUCUGAGUCGAGUUAUCGCUGUUACAAAAACAGUGUAGCCUCGAUUGUCAUUGCUACUGUUGUUACGUUAAUAAACAAAGUCUUGAUUAUCCAUUUUUACGUUAAAUCAAUGACUGUGAAUUGUAUUUAAAUGAUUCUUUAUUUGGAUCUAAAUCUAGGAUGUUUAGCUUCUUUUUAAAUUUAUGUGAUUUUAUCUAUUUGUUAUUUUACGACCAACAGUAUUAUUGUGUAAAAGAAAAUGGUGUAUAGUCUAAUAAUAUUGUUUUUAAAAAAUGUAUCGAAA